RNA transcript from Mytilus californianus (California mussel), 4587 nucleotides. RefSeq lists it as uncharacterized. NCBI's taxonomy places the organism in Eukaryota, Metazoa, Mollusca, Bivalvia, Mytilida, Mytilidae. The record is from RefSeq and is a predicted model, not a curated record. The transcript is spliced from 7 exons.
CUAUUUAAAAAGAAGAGGUAGAAGAGAAACAGAAGAUCUUCCCAAUGCAAAAACACAGAAAUGGACCUCUUCUGGCUCACUACCGAAGAACAAAAAAACGCGCCCCACGUGUCAUAACAAACCGCGAUAUUACGACUUGAAAGAGAUGGCAUCUGAAGAAAUUGAAGCACAAAUAUCUAACCUAGGCUCCGAUCUUGAACAAAAUUUAAGGACAAGGGAAUCAACACCCCGAGAGAGAUCGUCAUCUAGAGUACGAUCCAGAAGUGAAAGUACACACAAGGGCCGAGGACGAAAUAAAAGUAAAAUAUCGAGUAUACACACUGAUGAAUCGUAUACAGGUCUUUCUUUUAAUUCACUCCCAUCAUCAACAUCGCACUGGACAUUAAUUUGUCUUGAGUCGGUUGGAGUAUACUACAAGGACAAAGCAUUGUCUGUUCCAGGUGUCUUCGAUAUGGUUUACGAACAUACAGGGUUGUUCGAAACUCCAAGUUCUGAUCAAAUAGAGUUUGUGAAGAAACUUAAGGACGAAAUCACGUUCUCUUUCUCCAUAUCCGAUCUGAGUAGAUACAAUAACAAAGGCUUCUAUCGAGAAACUUUCCAGAAUUUGAAAAAAGAUCUUCCGAGCCCAGUUGAAGAUUUUACAACAAGUACAUUAUUGCUGGUACAUUAUGCAAUAGAAAGAGAAAAGUAUGGAGGAAAAAUAUCAGAGGCUGUGUUUAAGGAUUUGUUUAAAUCUUUUGUGAAGAUGGUUAAUCUAGUUCCUGGUCAAGGUGAGGAAUGGACGUCCCAAAUGACAAUUCUACAGCAGGAUGUUACAUCAGAAUCUAAUGUUGUUAUAAUGACAAAAGAUUUUCUUAACAGUAUUCCUCCAAGUAUAGUAUCUGUUGUUUCCAUUGUAGAGGUGAAAAACUUAUGUGGAGGUGUAAAUGAGAGCAGUCAUUUGAAAACCCACAUGAAGACAAGACCAAUAAGGGGAGCAGAUUUAGAAACUGCAAGUUCAUGCUCUGAAAAAUCAGUACAUGAAGAACCAGCUAUUUAUAGAAGAAUUCCUCAGGCUGUUCUAGGACAACAUGGUGGAGAACUUUUAGUACAUGCUAGAGCAUAUGGAGGCAGAUUUGCUAGUAAAAAAAAGCGCUGUAGACUGCAUCCAGGAAUGAUAGUGAUAGGAACUCGAGUAACUCUAACUGUUCUAGAAUACAAUUUUGACCACAUGGAUGAAUUACAAAACAACAGUGAGAACGAAAAUUCCAGAAGCUAUAUAUAUUAUUCAGAACCAAAAGAUUUUUUGAAGAAAGAAGAUCGUGAUUUGUUAAUGGAGUCGUUCAUACGACUAAGUAACAUUAAACCUGAAUGCUGACAGAAUUAAGAUAUAAUGAAGAAAUAUCUUCCUGAAGAUCUAAUUAAUGUCUGCAAAGAUAUUAAAGGUGAAGGGAACACAAGCUAUCAUGCUUUAAGGAAAAGAUACAGAAACACAAGCUCCUGUAGACAGUCAUGCAAAGGAAGAUGCUUUUGUAAUAUAUGUUGAUGUUAUAAAUUAUGACAAAUCAAUUAACAACAAUAUGUUCUACGAAUUUCCUAGUUUCAUAAAUCAUAUUAUAAAAGUUGAAAAUGUCAUUUGAUUAAUAAUUAUGCAAAAUUUAAGAAAAUGGGGCAAAUGAAAGGAAAAUACAUUUUUCAAAAAUAUACAUAUUUCAACUAUUUCAACAUGUAGUGGGGAAUACCUGGUGUUCCUCUGGUUUCAAAUCUAGUAGAUUUACUACCCUCAUUUCUUGAUUUAUUUUUAUGAAAUUUAUUGCAUAUCAGAAUUGUCUCAAACAAGUUAGAAAGUCAGCUAUUUUUAUUGGGGACGAGUCUAGGGGACCAUUACAUUCACAAACAAAAUUCUAGUCUUUUUUUUAUGAAAAAAAAUUUUAAACUUUGAAAUUUUAACAUUUUAUUGUGAAUUUCAUUUGAAAACAAUUAAAAUCCCAUUAGACAAUAUAGACAUCAAAGAGAUUUUAUUAGACAAAAACUGCCACAUUAAAUAUUCCAAUUGUCAAUGUGGCUGGGUCACUCAUAUUAUAUAAUAAGAACAAUAAAUAUGUUUUGACAAUGAAAAAGAUGACUGGUGCAACACAGAAUUGAAAAGAGAGAGAAAUGCAUUACAUUGUUCUUACAAAACGGUAAUUUGACAAUAAAUUUGGGAGUCUCUGACUGAAAUCUUGUCACAUGGCACCUUGUAUACAGAUUAGGUCAUGCAUGCUGUAUAAAUAUAUAUCUAAUGUUUUCUGCAAAAGUUUGUUUUAAUGAACACUUAUAAUGUACAUAGUACCUACAUACAUGUAUUCUCAUAUUAACUAUAAUUAGAUUGAUUAAGACUACUGUUUGAAAUGCUUUAAUUGAACAUUAACAAAUCAAUGAGUCAAGUUGUGAUGAAGUAGCUCUGUUUAAAUUAUUGAGACAUUGUGUAUUUUUUAUCACUGCUUGUUAAUAAUUAUAUGACAUGUACCGGUAUGUGUAACCAGAUACCAACCCCUAUACAUUCAAAUAGACGUUAAGUAAUGUCAAUUAAUUCUUUUUUGAACUGACUACAUCAUGCUGGUCAGAUGAUGUGCUUGUAGGGUGAUGCCUUUAUUGUUAUUAAGGCAACUUACAUACAUUGUAUUUCUAGCUAUUCCAUAAAUAUGUAAGGGCUAUUCCAGUAAAACAUGUAAAAAAAAGGGGGGGGCUGGUGUUAGUUGGUUGGAAGGCACUUUGUAUUAAUAAUACAUGGGUGAUGGGUAUCAGAGCAACUUUUUACACUAUAAUGCACUAUGAUUCUCAAUUACAAUUGACUGGGUGGCAGGUGCUGAAACAAACUGCCUUCCACCCCCCUCUUCCCCCAUACAUUUUUUUCUGGAAUAGCCCUAAUGUAACGUAUGCCUUAGUGUCAAGUUUUGUUGGGAUAGAUGGAAAAAAAAUCCCUUCUGAUUUUUUUAAUUUUUUAGUUGUGUCAUUCCUCGAUUUUAAGUCUCAGAUUUAUGAUAUUUUUCACAUUUCACACACUUAGUCCAGUAUGCUUGUAUGGAUUUCAUCAAAUUUUUACACUAUUGUUUAAAAAGAUUUAUAAGAGAAAGCUCCCAUAAGCAAAGAAAAAUGUUUUCUGGUUGUCGUUCAAGAUUUACAGGCUUUUUAAGAAUGUUCGCUCCUCUGUUUCAAAAUAACAAGCUUUUUGAAAGACUGUUAUUAAUUGAUAGUAUAAAAAAACAAGGAUUUUAUAAGAUUUUCAAAAAUGGAUUUUUAUGCCAUAUAUGUAAUAAAAUUAUGAACAUAAAAGUUGGGGUUAGCAGGCAAAAUCUUUUAAUAGCACUACAUGGAUAAAACUAUGAGGAUUCCGAAUAUCUGACUUCUGGUGAAAGUAAGAAACUGUAACAUUUUGAAGAUUUUCUGAAUUUUCAUUUCAGAUUUAUGGUACCCUGGUACUCUGUCAGAUUGAUAAAAGCCAUGCACUAGCUCUUGUAUGCUUAGAUCAAACCACUUCAAACUUGCACUGCUUUUGGGAUUAGUUAAUUUUCUGGUUUACAUUUCAAGAGUUAUGGGAAUUUUAAACAGUUAUAUUUGACGGAACAUUUAUAUCAUAUAUGCCUAAGGAUUUUCUCAUGCACGACUUUCUACAGAGCUUUUUUAUUUAUUUCUGAUAUAUAAAAAAGAAGAUGUGGUAUGAUUGCCAAUGAGACAACUCUCCACAAGAGACCAAAUGACACAAAUUAACAGCUAUAGGUCACUGUAUGGCCUUCAACAAUGAGCAAAGCCCAUACCGCUGCCUUCUAAAUAUUCCAUGAUAAAAUAGAACUAUUAAAAGUAUUGAUAUACCAUUUUUUUGCUGUCUCUUGAUCAUAUCUAAUAAUAUGCUUGCCUAUAGAUAAGUAAAAAAAAAGAUCACCAAUCAAAAUGUCACACAGAAUUUUGCAAUUUAUUUGUGCUUGUUGUUAAAAGAAAAUAUUUGUUGCAUGCUUAUUGCUUUGAUAGGUGUAAAUUUUAUUUGUGACAUACAUUUUAAAAAAACAAGUUGUAUUCCUCCCAGACGACAGCCAUUCUUUGUUUAAAAUGUAUCAUGUAUGUAUAUAGAAAGUGGUUCAAAAUAUUCUUAACAAAGGAAAUGAUAUCUGAAAUAAAUGUUUGUUAAUAAAUACUCAGUUUUAGUUAUUUUUAUUUAAUAUUAAAAAAGAUAGUGGAAGAUAAAAACUAUUUAUACAUUUAAAAAAUUGGUAACCCUAUGUCUCUUUGCAUUAGAAGUUGCAUGGUUUAGCAUUUAUAGAUGAAAGAUGAUUGUGAGUAAAGUUCAACAUGUGUACAUGUAAGACCUUUCCAUAAAUGCAUCUGUUGUAGUUUUAUUUAUAUUUAUUGAAAGUUUAGUAUAUAGCAACUGCAUGGAUCAUCUAUACACAUGAGAGAAUAUUUUGCUAUUAUUGAAAUGAUAAAUGUCAGUCAAACUUUCUUCAACUUGCAAAUAUAUCUCAAAUUGCAUAAAAGAAUAAGGAGAUGUGGUAUGAUUGGCUAUGACUGUCUAUUUAAGAAUCAGAUUUGUAAAAUUGCAGGUUAACAUACAGCUUGCAUUAUUUACAUGUA